AGCCACGCGGUGAGCACAGAGCGAACUAUUCUUUCGCCUUUUACUAAAGAAUACCGUGUGCUCGCCGCUUUUAGUGGCAUACGCUUAUUUUUGGAGGACACUCCUCUCUCGGAGGAGAGU
Molecule: small nuclear RNA, 120 nt
Filed under: Prunus dulcis (almond)
Lineage: Eukaryota; Viridiplantae; Streptophyta; Magnoliopsida; Rosales; Rosaceae
Also listed under: 1 other name
Description: sRNA ncRNA
Rfam family: U5 spliceosomal RNA
About the family: U5 RNA is a component of both types of known spliceosome. The precise function of this molecule is unknown, though it is known that the 5' loop is required for splice site selection and p220 binding, and that both the 3' stem-loop and the Sm site are important for Sm protein binding and cap methylation.
Source: Rfam by way of RNAcentral